AAGUCGUAACAAGGUCUCCGUUGGUGAACCAGCGGAGGGAUCAUUACAGAGUUAUCUAACUCCCAAACCCAUGUGAACUUACCAAUGUUGCCUCGGCAGAACCUACCGGUACCAACCCUGGAACGGCUACCCUGUAGCUACCCUGGAACGGUUACCCUGUAACGCUCUGCCGGCGGACUAUUAAAUUCUUGUUAUUUUAUUGUAAUCUGAGCGUCUUAUAUUAAUAAGUCAAAA
This 234-nucleotide unclassified non-coding RNA is filed under the name plant metagenome. RNAcentral describes it as "partial contains small subunit ribosomal RNA and internal transcribed spacer 1". The stretch from base 1 to 46 matches the Rfam family "Eukaryotic small subunit ribosomal RNA", at positions 1786 to 1831 of the family's 1831-position model. The record is from RNAcentral.